CAGUCGCCGCGGGAAUACGAAGGGGGCUAGCGUUGCUCGGAAUGACUGGGCGUAAAGGGCGCGUAGGCGGCUUGCACAGUCAGAUGUGAAAUUCCUGGGCUCAACCUGGGGGCUGCAUUUGAUACGUGUGGGCUAGAGUGUGAAAGAGGGUCGUGGAAUUCCCAGUGUAGAGGUGAAAUUCGUAGAUAUUGGGAAGAACACCGGUGGCGAAGGCGGCGACCUGGUUCAUGACUGACGCUGAGGCGCGAAAGCGUGGGGAGCAAACAGGAUUAGAUACCCGCGUAGUCCCUGUCUCUUAUAC
RNAcentral lists this ribosomal RNA (301 nucleotides) under uncultured bacterium. RNAcentral describes it as "partial 16S ribosomal RNA". It matches the Rfam family "Bacterial small subunit ribosomal RNA", at positions 509 to 807 of the family's 1533-position model. The record is from RNAcentral.